Molecule: small RNA, 29 nt
Filed under: Bombyx mori (domestic silkworm)
Lineage: Eukaryota; Metazoa; Arthropoda; Insecta; Lepidoptera; Bombycidae
Description: ovarian small RNA-36449
Source: RNAcentral
UUACAUCAUCGGUUUACAUUUUGCUCAAC